UCGAAGUUGAGUCCGAUGAGCUUAUCGCUGUCCAAUAGCGUAUGAAGAGAUAAUGUGUUGGCCAUAACUGAAAAAAAAUAUAUAAGCCUAUUAGUAUAUGAAUUACUUUUUAAUCCCAAAGAUAUAGAUUUUAAUCUAAAUAUUUUUCUACUAUUUUAACGAAUUGAUAACCUCUACCUCCAACUCGAGAAAUUAUAUUAAUUUCUUAGCAGAUACUAAAAUCCACAC
This 228-nucleotide long non-coding RNA is filed under the name Elaeis guineensis (African oil palm). RNAcentral describes it as "long non-coding RNA (EGUI_LNC014713)". Lineage: Eukaryota; Viridiplantae; Streptophyta; Magnoliopsida; Arecales; Arecaceae. The record is from RNAcentral.